This 594-nucleotide long non-coding RNA is filed under the name Olea europaea (common olive). RNAcentral describes it as "long non-coding RNA (OEUR_LNC009393)". The record is from RNAcentral. Lineage: Eukaryota; Viridiplantae; Streptophyta; Magnoliopsida; Lamiales; Oleaceae.
AAAAUAGUUUGUCACUUUUGUUUAUUUUGGGAAAAAAAAAACCAGGGUCUAUUUGCACCCAUUUAAAACAGUAAGGAAAGUCGUGGCAUACCUAUAUUCAUUGAAGUGGAGAUUUCAAGAAGAGAAUUUGGAACGUCCAUUCGUAUUUCUUUCAAAAAAAUUUAUUUUAUUUAGGUAAGAUACUUUUGUGCCAAUGUUUUCAUUUCGUUAUGCUCUUAUAUUCAAUUAAGUGUGCAUGGAUUGCUAGUGGACCUUUGGAUUCUUUGAAAAAGAGAGAUGAAAUCUUACGGGAUUAUAAGAGUACCUUAAGAUGGGUGUAUCACUUGGUCACCCAUAUAUUCCAUACGAGCAAAGUAGUAUGAAGUAUAAAUUUUAUUUGUUAUAUAAUUGCGUAUGGAAACUGCACAUAUCUCGUUGAAUGUUUUCGAAUACUCAUUCUUACAAAUAUUUUUUUCAGAUUGGUUUGGUUCAAUUGGAACCAUGGCAAAUUGGUGAUGUGGACUACCAAGGGGAUCCAAGGAAAAAUAAAAAUAAGAAUUUAGUUAUUUCCUUUUAUGUCUCUAAAUUAUUUGUAAGUUUUAUUUGUUUAAAGAC